Molecule: ribosomal RNA, 497 nt
Filed under: uncultured bacterium
Lineage: Bacteria
Description: partial 16S ribosomal RNA
Rfam family: Bacterial small subunit ribosomal RNA
Source: RNAcentral
GAUGAACGCUGGCGGCGUGCCUAAUACAUGCAAGUCGAGCGAACAGAUGAGGAGCUUGCUCCUCUGACGUUAGCGGCGGACGGGUGAGUAACACGUGGAUAACCUACCUAUAAGACUGGGAUAACUUCGGGAAACCGGAGCUAAUACCGGAUCAUAUAUUGAACCGCAUGGUUCAAUAGUGAAAGACGGUUUUGCUGUCACUUAUAGAUGGAUCCGCGCCGCAUUAGCUAGUUGGUAAGGUAACGGCUUACCAAGGCAACGAUGCGUAGCCGACCUGAGAGGGUGAUCGGCCACACUGGAACUGAGACACGGUCCAGACUCCUACGGGAGGCAGCAGUAGGGAAUCUUCCGCAAUGGGCGAAAGCCUGACGGAGCAACGCCGCGUGAGUGAUGAAGGUCUUCGGAUCGUAAAACUCUGUUAUUAGGGAAGAACAAAUGUGUAAGUAACUAUGCACGUCUUGACGGUACCUAAUCAGAAAGCCACGGCUAACUACGUG